This is a long non-coding RNA of Daphnia pulex (common water flea), 601 nucleotides long. RefSeq lists it as uncharacterized. The record is from RefSeq and is a predicted model, not a curated record. Lineage: Eukaryota; Metazoa; Arthropoda; Branchiopoda; Diplostraca; Daphniidae. The transcript is spliced from 4 exons.
GUGACAAUAGACCUCUUGCACCGUGCGGAUAGCAGGAUUCUUGUAGUCCGACAACGCUGCAAUCCGCCAUCUUAAUAAAACCACACCCUUUUUUUACAUUGUGUCUUAUGGAAGUAUUUUUCUAAGUGCUUUUUCUCUUAGCUGGAUAAAAACUUCGACCAAAGAAAAAUAUAGGAAAAUACUACAUCAUUCAGGGCAUAUGGGAAUUGUUUACAUUUGUAGGAACCAAAUAUGUAUAAUUGUCAUGUGUGUGUGUGUGUCAAUUUUACACUGAAACACGAUACGGAAAACAAGUUAAUGUUGCGAAUUGGAGAUUUUGAAUUGGAGAUUUUGUUGCAUCUGCCAUUGCUGUGUGAUUGUGAAGACAAAAAUGUUCCAUAUGUCAUGUGUUUGUCCGUUCAAAGCAAGCACUUGGACGUGCUUGUGGAGUCUCCCGUUCUGUUAUUGCAGCUUGUUCUGUGACUGUACAUGAGGGAUCAUAACUGAAACCACAGAUUCAGUCUUUACAACAAGAAAUUGAAAAACUUCUCGUUUGAUCUCUCUUGAGGGACAAUGCUGUGAUUGAAAAUACAAUUGCCAUUUGGCUGUUCAUUGCCUAAAA